RNAcentral lists this ribosomal RNA (370 nucleotides) under uncultured organism. RNAcentral's name for it is "bacterial SSU rRNA". It matches the Rfam family "Bacterial small subunit ribosomal RNA", at positions 526 to 896 of the family's 1533-position model. The record is from RNAcentral.
CGAAGGGGGCUAGCGUUGUUCGGAAUUACUGGGCGUAAAGCGCGCGCAGGCGGUCUUCCAAGUCAGUGGUGAAAGCCCGGAGCUCAACUCCGGAACUGCCAUUGAAACUGUUAGACUUGAGGAUGAGAGAGGUGAGUGGAAUUCCCAGUGUAGAGGUGAAAUUCGUAGAUAUUGGGAAGAACACCGGUGGCGAAGGCGGCUCACUGGCUCAUUACUGACGCUCAGGCGCGAUAGCGUGGGGAUCAAACAGGAUUAGAUACCCUGGUAGUCCACGCCGUAAACGAUGAAUGCUAGCCGUUGGGCAGCUUGCUGUUCAGUGGCGCAGCUAACGCAUUAAGCAUUCCGCCUGGGGAGUACGGCCGCAAGGUUG